This 750-nucleotide ribosomal RNA is filed under the name Microsporidium sp. BFAS5 FAS1. RNAcentral's name for it is "SSU rRNA". It matches the Rfam family "Microsporidia small subunit ribosomal RNA", at positions 1 to 788 of the family's 1311-position model. Lineage: Eukaryota; Fungi; Microsporidia. The record is from RNAcentral.
CACCAGGUUGAUUCUGCCUGACGUAGAUGCUUGUCUCUAAGAUUAAGCCAUGCAUGUUUAUGUAAUAAGGACGAAUAGCUCAGUAGAACUACGAUUAUUUAAUCCGUUUGUAAGAUAACCACGUGAAAAUGUGGCUAAGAGAGGGCAGAAUAAGUUGUAGGACUAUCAGUUAGUUGGUAGUGUAAUGGACUACCAAGACGGUAACGGUUAACGGGGAAUUAGGGUUUUAUACCGGAGAGGGAGCCUGAGAGAUUGCUCCCACGUCCAAGGACGGCAGCAGGCGCGAAAAUUGCCCACUGUUGUAGGAGGCAGUUAUGAGACGUGAGAUUGAAUAUUUGGCAAAGAGAAAUAGGAGAAUUGGAGGGCAAGUUUGGUGCCAGCAGCCGCGGUAAUACCGACUCCAAGAGUGUGUAUGAGAGAUGCUGCAGUUAAAAAGUCCGUAGUCAUUUAGUUUUAAAUCGAGAUGGAUGUCUCAGAUAGAAAUGAUUGAGGAACCAAUGGGGAAAACAGUAUACCAGGGCGAGAGAUGAAAUGUCAAGACCCCUGGUGGACUAAGCGAGGCGAAAGUGGUUUUCUUGUGGGGAUUCUAUGAUCAAGGACGAAGGGUGGAGGAUCGAAAGUGAUUAGAUACCGCAGUAGUUCCAGCAGUAAAAGAUUCCGACAUGUCGAUUGGAAACAGUUGACGGGGAGAAAUCUUAGAGUUCGGGCUCUUGGAAUAGUAUGCUCGCAAGAGUGAAAAUUAAAGAAAUU